UCCAACCCCCAAAUUCCCCCUCCCCCCUUUCUCCCAAAUUCUCAAAUUCUCGAAAUCAUUUUCCCAUAAAAUCAGUUUCCCGCUGGCCCACCAACCUGAUUCGUCCUCUGGCUUUCUCUGUGUCUCCGAAAAGUAUUGUGCUUAAAUUAGUUUAGUCUCUUAUGAAGUUUCCAACUGCAAAGUGCGAGAACCGGUAAGCGACCGGUUGAUAUAUGUAACCCUACUAUCUGAAUUUUUAAGGAAUAUAGAGUGAUUAGAGGAGACAGAGUCGUUGUGAAACUCUCACGGCCUAUUCAGACUUCAAGACUUCAUUCCAAAACUCCAACGCAGUGAAACUCCAAUCCAGGUGUCGGACCCAGUCAUCAGUAGCCGAGUUGAUUGCUGAGAGUCAAGGUAGCACUGCAUUCUUGACCGUGGUCUUGGCGUCUCUUUCCUUAUGUACUGUUGUCUUUAUCUCAGACAGUAUUGUACUUGGUCAUUUUAGAUUUGUAUUUCCGUAUUAGAGCUCAUGACUCUGUAUGUACCAGUUUCUAGGAGAUUUAUCAUGUAUUAACAGUAUUUUGUUAUAUUGAGGUUUCAAACUUAUGCUAUUC
Molecule: long non-coding RNA, 593 nt
Organism: Nicotiana tabacum (common tobacco)
Lineage: Eukaryota; Viridiplantae; Streptophyta; Magnoliopsida; Solanales; Solanaceae
Source: RefSeq, a predicted model, not a curated record